RNAcentral lists this long non-coding RNA (441 nucleotides) under Sinocyclocheilus grahami. RNAcentral's name for it is "lncRNA (ENSSGRG00000043507.1)". The record is from RNAcentral. Lineage: Eukaryota; Metazoa; Chordata; Actinopteri; Cypriniformes; Cyprinidae.
GUUAUCUGCUCCUUGCAGUAGGGCUUGAGUGAGUCACUGCCUUUUCAGGGAUCAUGUCUCAAGAUCAGUCUGAAGUGAGUGACCCUAUGCACCUGAAGAGCUUUACUGCUCCUCACAGCACAAACAGUAACACUGUAUGGAGGACGGAGACUCAACAAGACAAUGUUGUAGGGAUUGCGUGCUUCUUGGAAAGGGGAAAUUCCCGACGAUCUUAUAGUCUAUGUGGAGCAUAUAAAGGCAAAGCACACUUCCUCUGUCACAAACACAUUCAACCGAACACUCUCACAAGAGAAACAACGAUUUAACCAACUCUAUAACUCCAGAGAGGGAACUGAACUAAACGACUGAACGAUGGAAUGCCAUGAACACUACAUUUUGCCUUCGGAGUAAGUAUCGCUUGUUUUUAUAUAUAUAUAUAUAUAUAUAUAUUAUAUAAAUCAA